This 236-nucleotide ribosomal RNA is filed under the name uncultured Staphylococcus sp. RNAcentral's name for it is "partial 16S ribosomal RNA". It matches the Rfam family "Bacterial small subunit ribosomal RNA", at positions 104 to 334 of the family's 1533-position model. Lineage: Bacteria; Bacillati; Bacillota; Bacilli; Caryophanales; Staphylococcaceae. The record is from RNAcentral.
GGGUGAGUAACACGUGGAUAACCUACCUAUAAGACUGGGAUAACUUCGGGAAACAGGAGCUAAUACCGGAUAAUAUUUUGAACCGCAUGGUUCAAAAGUGAAAGACGGUCUUGCUGUCACUUAUAGAUGGAUCCGCGCUGCAUUAGCUAGUUGGUAAGGUAACGGCUUACCAAGGCAACGAUGCAUAGCCGACCUGAGAGGGUGAUCGGCCACACUGGAACUGAGACACGGUCCAG